ACCUAGGUAUAUGUUGUUUAGUGUUUGUUUUAACAUUUUAUCUUGGUUUCUCUAACCAUCUAAUAUUUGUACUAGUUUAAAUUACUGUUUGCAAAAAACUGUUGUGCUGUGGAAUCGGUUACCCUUGCUAUAAAUAAUAAAUGAGUCGGGCGAGAAUGACAGUCUCAGUAUUAUUCUCAGCUUUUUCUUUGAAUAAUGGUUUGUCGCUUUUACUUAUACCUAAAGAAGAGGACGGCCGUGGCCGGGUUCGAACUGACGAUAGUGAAAAUACGUGAUGGUAUAAAUUGGUGAUCAAAUUCUAUCAACUUCUCCAUCCUGUUUGUCUCAAAAUUCAAAAAUUAAAUCAUUUCCAAAGAUAUGUUGGGAAUCUAAAAAUUCAUGAUCUUCAAAAUCAUCAAAUAGAGAUGCUCCAUCAUCAUCUUCUGCUGAUGAACUAUCACCAAUUUUCAAAACAGCCAUCCCUUCACAAUCUUCCGAACAGUUUUCAACUAAAUAUUCAUAUAAUUGGAGACCAGUAACAGAUUAACUCACCCAUCAUUAUAUACACGGGAUUUACCAAUUUGAAUUGGUUGAAAGCCACUAAAAAGAGGAUCAGUCUCAAUAUAUUGAGCAUAUGCAACUGUCAAUCUAGCACAUAAUCGUUUGUGCCAUUGAGGAGCCUGU
This is a long non-coding RNA of Aphis gossypii (cotton aphid), 663 nucleotides long. RefSeq lists it as uncharacterized. The record is from RefSeq and is a predicted model, not a curated record. The transcript has 3 exons. Lineage: Eukaryota; Metazoa; Arthropoda; Insecta; Hemiptera; Aphididae.